Molecule: ribosomal RNA, 255 nt
Filed under: uncultured bacterium
Lineage: Bacteria
Description: partial 16S ribosomal RNA
Rfam family: Bacterial small subunit ribosomal RNA
Source: RNAcentral
UACGUAGGGUGCAAGCGUUAAUCGGAAUUACUGGGCGUAAAGCGUGCGCAGGCGGUUUUGUAAGUCAGAUGUGAAAUCCCCGGGCUUAACCUGGGAACUGCAUUGGUGACUGGCAGGCUUUGAGUGUGGCAGAGGGAGGUAGAAUUCCACGUGUAGCAGUGAAAUGCGUAGAGAUGUGGAGGAAUACCGAUGGCGAAGGCAGCCUCCUGGGCCAACCACUGACGCUCAUGCACGAAAGCGUGGGGAGCAAACAGG